Molecule: ribosomal RNA, 410 nt
Filed under: uncultured bacterium
Lineage: Bacteria
Description: bacterial SSU rRNA
Rfam family: Bacterial small subunit ribosomal RNA
Source: RNAcentral
UCGGGAAUUUUGGGCAAUGGGGGAAACCCUGACCCAGCAACGCCGCGUGAAGGAUGAAGUAUUUCGGUAUGUAAACUUCGAAAGAAUAGGAAGAAUAAAUGACGGUACUAUUUAUAAGGUCCGGCUAACUACGUGCCAGCAGCCGCGGUAAUACGUAGGGACCAAGCGUUGUUCGGAUUUACUGGGCGUAAAGGGCGCGUAGGCGGCAUGACAAGUCACUUGUGAAAUCUCUGGGCUUAACCCAGAACGGCCAAGUGAUACUGUCGCGCUAGAGUGCAGAAGGGGCAAUCGGAAUUCUUGGUGUAGCGGUGAAAUGCGUAGAUAUCAAGAGGAACACCUGAGGUGAAGACGGGUUGCUGGGCUGACACUGACGCUGAGGCGCGAAAGCCAGGGGGAGCAAACGGAGUAGU